Long non-coding RNA from Dalotia coriaria, 931 nucleotides. RefSeq lists it as uncharacterized. The record is from RefSeq and is a predicted model, not a curated record. The transcript has 3 exons. Lineage: Eukaryota; Metazoa; Arthropoda; Insecta; Coleoptera; Staphylinidae.
AACGAAAAAGGAUCGCCCGAGCAGGGACUUGAACCCUGGACCCUUGGAUUAAAAGUCCAAUGCUCUACCGACUGAGCUACCCGGGCUCGAUGUAUCUCGUUUCUUUUUACAGGUUUAAGAAUAUGCUGCGAUUUCUUAACAUGUCAAACGUAUUUUUUGACAUUUUUUUGUAAGAAAACUUUACAAUAAAACAACAAAAAUCUAUUAAUUACAUUUAAUUACCAGAAAUAUUUGAUUUUAAAAACAAAAAACUUGUAUUUAUUUAAGAAAAAAGUGCAAAGUCUUCUUUUUUAGUUUUAUUCCCGAAAUUCACCUAGAAAAGCUCGUUACUCACGGUCAAGGUCAAGGUCGGACUGUUGCACAACGCGUUGCCGCAUUCUAAAUAUAUCCGCACAACUAGCCGGCAGGGGCGCGAGUUUGCAGAGCUUAUCGAUACUAUCAUCUACUAUUUGUUCAAUGUGCUAUGCAUGCGUCUUUCUGGAUGCGCCACGUUGCGCAUUUGCCAAAAUUGUGUUUACAUUAAAGCGUGCAAAAGCUUAAACCUACUUAAAACACUUUACAUGCGCUUAUUUUCUACUUAAAAGCUCCCGACAGUUGAAAUAAAACCUCAAACAUUCAUCACAAUCAAGGUGAAAUUCUGACACGCGGAACUUUCACGCGAUGCGCGCAUCGAGAGUAAAAUAAACAAAUGAAGAAAAGAAAAGGAAUCGCCCGAGCAGGGACUUGAACCCUGGACCCUUGGAUUAAAAGUCCAAUGCUCUACCGACUGAGCUACCCGGGCUGUGAUAACUUUUAAUUCAUGAUAUAAUCACGCUGUUGAUUAGAAAUAAUCUAAUAUAUUGCAAGAUUUGUUUUCAUUUUAAACUUUAAACUAACACGAAACACGAAACUUAUGUCAACUUGUGUGUUAAUAUAGGCAACUUUCAAUGUC